Molecule: ribosomal RNA, 430 nt
Filed under: uncultured bacterium
Lineage: Bacteria
Description: bacterial SSU rRNA
Rfam family: Bacterial small subunit ribosomal RNA
Source: RNAcentral
AACGCGAAGAACCUUACCAGAGCUUGACAUCCUUCUGACCGGUCCUUAAUCGGACCUUUCUUCGGACAGAAGAGACGGGUGGUGCAUGGUUGUCGUCAGCUCGUGUCGUGAGAUGUUGGGUUAAGUCCCGCAACGAGCGCAACCCUUGUCAUUAGUUGCCAUCAUUCAGUUGGGCACUCUAGUGAGACUGCCGGGGAUAACUCGGAGGAAGGUGGGGAUGACGUCAAAUCAUCAUGCCCCUUAUGUUCUGGGCUACACACGUGCUACAAUGGUCGGUACAACGAGAAGCAAGACCGUGAGGUGGAGCAAAUCUUAAAAACCGAUCCCAGUUCGGAUUGCAGGCUGCAACUCGCCUGCAUGAAGUCGGAGUUGCUAGUAAUCGCAGAUCAGAAUGCUGCGGUGAAUGCGUUCCCGGGUCUUGUACACACCG